CAAAAGUCCUCAACUGAUGGGUCACAAACCCAAAGUGGAUUACAUGUCAUAUAUCCUGAUUAUCAGAUAUUUACAUUACAAUUCACAACAGUAUCAAAAUUGCAGUUAUGCAGUAGGACUGAAAUAAUUUUAUUGCUGGGAGGCAAUCAAAACAUAAAGUGUAUUAGAGAGUCUCAGAUUAAGGAUUUUUGAGAACCACUGUAUAACUAGGCUAUGUUUUCCCUUUAAGAAAGUAUUUACUUUUUGGAUAAAUGUGUACCAGGUACAGGAGCACUUGGAGGCCAAGAGGGUAUCAGAUGCCCUGGAGCUGUAUGUAUAUGUAAUUAUGAGCCUCCAUGUGGGUGCUAGGAAUUGAACCUUCUCCCUAUGACUAGCUCAGAUUUCUUUUUUCAUAUAUCCCAGACCCAAUUUCCCUAAGGAUGGCACCACCCUGAGUGGGCAGACCGCUCCUACAGGCCAAUCUGAUGGAGUUGUUUUCAAUUAAAAUUUGCUGGUCCCAGAUGACUAAUUUGCCCAGAUUAAAAAAAACACACAAAAACACAUAUAGAUUUUUAAGUAUGAUUAGCUAACACUAAGAAUUCUUAAAAUGUUUACAGACUUCCAACCAGACAGAAGAACAGUGGUGCAUGCUUUUAAUUCCUUCACUCAGGAGGCAGGGGGAGGCAGAUCUAUGAGUUCAAGGCCAGCCUGUCUACAGAGUGAGUUCCAGGACAACAAAGGCUACACUGAGAAACCCUGUCUGGGAUGGAGAAGAAUCAACAGUCUUCUGACCAGGGGAAGAGACCAGGAUCCAGGCUUGACAUCUUCUCCCGAUAGACUUUGUCAAAGGCUUCACUUUGAGCCACAGUGAACUGAUUCUUCCAGUCCCCACAAAUGCCUGUCAAACACAGAAGGAAAAGCACCAGGAAAAUGAGAAAAACAUCUCUCAUAUACAGCCAAGUCUGUCACACUCUCACCUCAACAAUCCAGCUGGUAUUUAAUAGAGAACAAAAUGAGUCAUCUUACAACUUUCUACUCAAACUGUCGUCUGUCAAAACGACAUCAGCACAAAGGGACAGGACUGGAGAUGAUUUCAGUUUGGUGGAUGUGAGCACCAGAAAGAUCACGGAGAAAGCCCUAGUCUUGAACCUUUGAAGGAACCUGAGGAAGUUCUCAAAACUGAAUUUCCAUCCACCACCCACAAGGGAAAAAUGGCAAC
RNAcentral lists this long non-coding RNA (1198 nucleotides) under Cricetulus griseus (Chinese hamster). RNAcentral's name for it is "lncRNA (ENSCGRG00015032075.1)". The record is from RNAcentral. Lineage: Eukaryota; Metazoa; Chordata; Mammalia; Rodentia; Cricetidae.